Molecule: non-coding RNA, 129 nt
Organism: Russula ochroleuca
Lineage: Eukaryota; Fungi; Basidiomycota; Agaricomycetes; Russulales; Russulaceae
Source: the annotation of a GenBank genome assembly
GCACCGAUGGUGAAGUGGUAUCAGACCUGCAGUUUCAUUACCCCACGGUGUGCCGUGCAACUGUACGGUAGAUGUAGGUGUGGCGAGGAAAUCUGGAGUGUCUCACGGGUUCGACUCCCGGUCGGUGUA